GUAGUUAGCCGGGGCUUUCUAAUGGGGUACCGUCAUUUUUUCGUCCCCCACAACAGAGGUUUACAAUCCGAAAACCUUCUUCCCUCACGCGGCGUUGCUGGGUCAGGCUUGCGCCCAUUGCCCAAUAUUCCCCACUGCUGCCUCCCGUAGGAGUCUGGACCGUGUCUCAGUUCCAGUGUGGCCGAUCAGCCUCUCAGCUCGGCUACCCAUCGCAGGCUUGGUGGGCUGUUAUCUCACCAACUACCUAAUGGGACGCGAACCCCUCCCUCAGCGGAUUGCUCCUUUGACCUCAUCCCGAUGCCGGGUCGUGGUCUUAUGCGGUAUUAGCACUUGUUUCCAGGUGUUAUCCCCCUCUGAAGGUCAGGUUGUUCACGCGUUACUCACCCGUUCGCCACUAAGUUUAUAAGAAUCCAUCCGAAAACUUCAACUUAUAAACUCCGUUCGACUUGCAUGUGUUAAGCACGCCGCCAGCGUUCAUCCUGAGCCAGGAUCAAACUCUGA
Molecule: ribosomal RNA, 501 nt
Filed under: uncultured bacterium
Lineage: Bacteria
Description: partial 16S ribosomal RNA
Source: RNAcentral